RNAcentral lists this non-coding RNA (236 nucleotides) under Firmicutes bacterium HGW-Firmicutes-21. Its description in RNAcentral is "6S RNA". It matches the Rfam family "6S / SsrS RNA". Rfam says of the family: E. coli 6S RNA was the first non coding RNA to be sequenced, but its function was unknown until recently. It consists of 184 nucleotides that fold into an extended hairpin structure with a large single-stranded internal bulge. Lineage: Bacteria; Bacillati; Bacillota. The record is from RNAcentral.
UAUUGCCUGCGGAGUUCGUGAAAAAGACAUUCGCAUUUUAGCGACUGUCUGCCCUGUGUAAAAACCCACAUUAACGAAAGGGAGUUCAUAUUCUUCGAUGGUGAGCAGGCCUCCCGUAUAAUCGCUGCUUAUGUCACCUUUUAUACGGAUGUUGGAAGCUCUGAAGUCGCGGAGAGGACACCCACCUGCACAUGGCAGGGUUCGUUUUCAUGGGGACACGGCUUUGCGGGUAAGGA